Molecule: ribosomal RNA, 402 nt
Filed under: uncultured eukaryote
Lineage: Eukaryota
Description: bacterial SSU rRNA
Rfam family: Eukaryotic small subunit ribosomal RNA
Source: RNAcentral
GCAGACAAGUAAUUGUCAUUGAAUAGUUCAGCAUGGGAUAAUAGAAUAGGACCACGUUCUUAUUUUCAGUUGGUUUUUAAGAGUGUGGUAAUGAUUAAUAGGAACGGUCGGGGGCAUUGGUAUUUAGUUGUCAGAGGUGAAAUUCUUAGAUUUACGAAAGACCAACAUGGGCGAAAGCAUUUGCCAAGGACGUUUUCAUUAAUCAAGAACGAAAGUUUGGGGAUCGAAGACGAUCAGAUACCGUCGUAGUCCAAACCAUAAACUAUGCCGACCAGGGAUCGAAGGACGUUCACAUUUCAUCAUGGAUGACUCCUCCGGCACCUUGUGAGAAAUCAUUAAGUGUUUGGGUCCUGGGGGGAGUAUGGUCGCAAGGCUGAAACUUAAAGGAAUUGACGGAAGGGC